This 374-nucleotide long non-coding RNA is filed under the name Setaria viridis. RNAcentral describes it as "long non-coding RNA (SVIR_LNC010820)". The record is from RNAcentral. Lineage: Eukaryota; Viridiplantae; Streptophyta; Magnoliopsida; Poales; Poaceae.
CAGCGACUUGGCGAGCGCGGCGGCUAGGGGCGGGAUGCGGGAGAUAGCGCCGGCGUGCAGUUGGGCGAAGGGGGAUGCAGCGCAGAGGAUAGGGAUGCGCUCGCAAGCUAGUUGGGCGGAGGGCCGGGCUGACCUGUCACGUCGGUGGCAGGGUUCGGCCGGUGGGAAGCGGCGGUCGGGCGGCACAACAUGCCGGGCGUGGUGAACGCACACGUGCACGCGCUCUCAAACGUGAUGGCGUGCGAGGGCAGCAGCAUUGAGCCGAUUUUGCGAGGGUUUUCAAAUUCAAACUUGAAAAAGUUUCAAACUAAAAGUUGCAGUCCUAACUCCAAACUACAACUCCUAGAAAACUUUAAGUUCAAAUCUGGUUUAAA